Molecule: unclassified non-coding RNA, 21 nt
Filed under: Mus musculus (house mouse)
Lineage: Eukaryota; Metazoa; Chordata; Mammalia; Rodentia; Muridae
Description: oocyte_clustered_small_RNA8487
Source: RNAcentral
UGGAUCUGUGUUGCGUAUUAG